This is a long non-coding RNA of Brassica rapa (field mustard), 1538 nucleotides long. RefSeq lists it as uncharacterized. The record is from RefSeq and is a predicted model, not a curated record. Lineage: Eukaryota; Viridiplantae; Streptophyta; Magnoliopsida; Brassicales; Brassicaceae.
UUAAGAACAUUUUUAGAAAUAUAGUUUAUUUACAUGUUUUUAGGUUCUUACAAACUUUGACGGACAGAGGAUAGUCCGACUUAAACUGCCUCUAGAAAUUUAUAAUAUCAGAAUUGUAUUAAAUUGGACUAAUCAUAUAUUUACCAGUUGCUUUUUAUUUAUUUAUUUCUAAAUUCGAAAACAUAUUGAACAUUUUAAUAUUUAAAAUUUUAAAAAUUGUUUUAUAUGAAUUUUUAUUCAUAAUAAAUUAAUUAUAUGAAAUUUUAUUAAUAAUAAAUUUAUUUAUUGAAAGUUGUAUCCUCUACAUAUUUAUAUGUGACUAAACUAAUUUAGAUGAGACUAUAUUUACAAAAUAGUGUUUUUUUAAAUAUAAUAUAUUUCAGUUAAGGGUUUUAAAUUUUACCACAAAAAAAUAACAACCAAAAAAUGCUACAUAAAAUAUAGUAUUGUUUAAUUUGAUUUAUAUAAAAAAUAAAUGUUUAUUAUUUACAGAAUUGGGCUAUACAAUAUAUAAUUCCGAAAUGAUUUACCCAUCAUUAAAAUUAAUCUGGCCCAUAUUAAUAUUAUCUUCAAUGUCAAUUAAUCCGGAAAAAAGUUUGUUAUAUUCUGUGCUAAUAAAAAAGUAAAGAAUUUUAUUUUGCUUUCUCCUUACCUUCGAUAUGUGGCUGCCUCUCUCUAUUUCUUAACUCUUCGUCAAAAACGCACGUGUGGAGAUUCCUUCAAAAACCUAAGUCAAAUACAGAAUCUGAACUACUUUGACUUCAUGUUCACUCUCAAUCUAUUUGUAAAUACCAUUGAUCUGUUGAAUUAAAGGUAUAAAUCAUGUACAACGACUCAGCUGGAGCACGGAUCAAGCUUUCAAAUUUCAUGUAGAAGAUCUGUUUUGGUCAAACUCACCUCCUAACACACAUGCUUCAGAGGAGAAGAUGAUCAUAGAACAUCCAAGAAUAUUAGAGAUAGUCGCAGUCGACCUGCAAAGAUAAGUUUUUAAUUACAAUCAGUUUCUGGUUUUCGAUGAUCUUGAGGUUUGGUUUUAAUUCUUGUAUAUUGAUUUGUAGGUAUAAAUCAUGUACAACGACUCAGCUGGAGCACGGAUCAAGCUUUCAAAUUUCAUGUAGAAGAUCUGUUUUGGUCAAACUCACCUCCUAACACACAUGCUUCAGAGGAGAAGAUGAUCAUAGAACAUCCAAGAAUAUUAUAGAUAGUCGCAGUCGACCUGCAAAGAUAAGUUUAAUGUUAAAACAUCAAUUUCUUAUGUGGCUUCAAAUAUCUUAACUUUAAACAGAUCAGUAUUGUGGUGAUUACAAUUGAAUCGCUCUUUUCUUGUGCUCAUGUAAGGGACAUGAUAGUAAAAAUCGACACAAUAUUCAGUUCAUAUGAAGCUCUAAGGUCUCAGCUAUACCUUAAAAUACUGAAGUGAUUUGCGAGAAAAAAAGAAGAGUCUACAUAUAUUACAAUCACGCUUAUGAGAUUUGAUCACUGAGAUGUAUUGAUUUCUUGUUUGUUUUAUAUUUAAAUAUAUUAACUAUGAGAGAUCA